AUAGAUGAAAAAGGUAAUUUAUUGGUUAGGUGAGCAAGAAGAUAAUGUUCCUGUUCUGAAUUUAGAGAUGCAAAUUAGAUACUUCUCAUUUUAUGCUUGUUUGUAAAAUGCUUUUUUUCCCUUUAAAUAUGAAUGUUGAGGCAGAAACCAUAAAUUCUUCUCAAAAAAAAUUCUUUUGUUUUGUGAGGGGGCAUUUCAAAAAAGAACAUUGUGGAAUAGAACCCUUGAGAAUCAGUUGCACAAAGCAUGCUUAAUUAGCUCAAAUAAGUAUUUCUAGAUUAUAAGUGCAAGUGAUGAUCGCAUUUUAAUAGAUGAUAUCCUUCACUCUGAGUCAGUAUUAAUUAUAUUAAUGUUCUGGCAUUAUGAGAUAUAAUGUAAGAAUUGAAUUUUUUGGGGGGAAGCAUAUAAUCAAGAUAUUCAUUACUUGUCAUUAAAAAUAGCUUCCUGAUGCAAGUGGAAGGGUGUUAGCUCCAUUGUUCUAUCUAGAUUCCAACACAGCUAAUUGCAUCCUGCUUACCCAAAUUGCACUGUCUGUGGUUUCACAUUAAUAUGAUAUAUGUGGAUUGAGUGUUAGUGACUGAUGUAUUCCAUCUUCCGUAUUUUCAGGUGUUGCCAAAUUGAUGUCUAAAUGCUGAAAUAUGUUCUUGGCCCAGACCGCUCCUUUCUGUUAUUUAGGAAAUGCUUUCACUCCUGAAGAGAGUAUUUCUACAGCUAACAACUGAAUAUACAAGGAUCAGAGCAAGCUGCAGUACUUGUAUCUGUGUUAGCAUCAAUCAUUUUGGGAAGGAAAGGAAGGCAUCCAGAAUAUUAGGUAAAUAUAGAUUUAUUUUAUUUUUUAAAUAAACUGUUUUCAGAUUACAUAAAGAACAUAUAGAGAUGUGCAAAGAGGUGGAAAGAUGAUUUACCACAGGGUAAUCAUAUUUCAUGAAACUAUGUAGGUCAUUUCAAAAGUAAUGCCUGCUAUUUAUUUGCAUGGAAACUACAACAGAUACAAAGAGCCCAAUAACACAAUUUGAUAGAGAAAAUUCUUAGCUACAAAGCGGUAUUUUUCAACAUCACCA
This 1061-nucleotide long non-coding RNA is filed under the name Numida meleagris (helmeted guineafowl). Its description in RNAcentral is "lncRNA (ENSNMEG00000005620.1)". Lineage: Eukaryota; Metazoa; Chordata; Aves; Galliformes; Numididae. The record is from RNAcentral.